AGAACGAACGCUGGCGGCAUGCCUAAUACAUGCAAGUCGAACGAACACUUCGGUGUUAGUGGCGCACGGGUGCGUAACGCGUGGGAAUCUGCCCUUGGGUUCGGAAUAACAGUUGGAAACGACUGCUAAUACCGGAUGAUGACGAAAGUCCAAAGAUUUAUCGCCCAGGGAUGAGCCCGCGUAGGAUUAGCUAGUUGGUGAGGUAAGGCUCACCGAAGGCGACGAUCCUUAGCUGGUCUGAGAGGAUGAUCAGCCACACUGGGACUGAGACACGGCCCAGACCU
This 284-nucleotide ribosomal RNA is filed under the name uncultured soil bacterium. RNAcentral's name for it is "partial 16S ribosomal RNA". It matches the Rfam family "Bacterial small subunit ribosomal RNA", at positions 26 to 338 of the family's 1533-position model. The record is from RNAcentral.